UGGGUACUGCGGAGACAUUACUGAUUUGCUUAAUUGCACCACAUGUGUUUUUUAUUGAACAAAUUUCUUUGGUGGCGGGAGCAAUCCUACCGCCAGAGGUUAUAACUAAACCAAACUUUUUAUUUACAGUCAAACUUGAUUUAUUAUUACAAUAGUCAAAACUUUCAACAACGGAUCUCUUGGUUCUCGCAUCGAUGAAGAACGCAGCGAAAUGCGAUACGUAAUAUGAAUUGCAGAUAUUCGUGAAUCAUCGAAUCUUUGAACGCACAUUGCGCCCUUUGGUAUUCCAAAGGGCAUGCCUGUUUGAGCGUCAUUUCUCCCUCAAACCCCCGGGUUUGGUGUUGAGCAAUACGCUAGGUUUGUUUGAAAGAAUUUAACGUGGAAACUUAUUUUAAGCGACUUAGGUUUAUCCAAAAACGCUUAUUUUGCUAGUGGCCACCACAAUUUAUUUCAUAACUUUGACCUCAAAUCAGGUAGGACUACCCGCUGAACUUAAGCAUAUCAAUAAGCGGAGGAAAA
This 519-nucleotide ribosomal RNA is filed under the name Candida tropicalis. Its description in RNAcentral is "eukaryotic LSU rRNA". The stretch from base 160 to 313 matches the Rfam family "5.8S ribosomal RNA". Lineage: Eukaryota; Fungi; Ascomycota; Pichiomycetes; Serinales; Debaryomycetaceae. The record is from RNAcentral.